GAAAGAAACAAAGAUGAUUUAAGGCAAACCGAGGCUGUCUCUUUCCCUAGCGGAGCCCCACGAUGUUCUAUGCUGUGUGCAUGUGAGCCGGGAGGAGGCCUGUCUGUCGGUCUGCUUUUCUCGUCCCCUGACAGUGGGCUCCAGAAUGGGGACCUUGCUACUCAUGGUUGAUGAGGCACCUUUGAGUGUGGAGUGGAGGACUCCAGAUGGCAGGAACCGGCCCAGCCAUGUCUGGCUCUGUGACCUGCCUGCUGCCUCUCUCAAUGACCAGUUGCCCCAGCACACGUUUCGUG
This 293-nucleotide long non-coding RNA is filed under the name Rattus norvegicus (Norway rat). RNAcentral's name for it is "long non-coding RNA NONRATT010901". The record is from RNAcentral. Lineage: Eukaryota; Metazoa; Chordata; Mammalia; Rodentia; Muridae.